This is a non-coding RNA of Myotis lucifugus (little brown bat), 75 nucleotides long. NCBI's taxonomy places the organism in Eukaryota, Metazoa, Chordata, Mammalia, Chiroptera, Vespertilionidae. The record is from Rfam.
GGCUGUUCUUGGGUGAUGCACCCUGGAAUCAGGCUCCCUCCUCUCUGGUUCCAGGUGUGUCACCUGAGAACCGCA